GUGGGUAUAGCUCAGUGGUAGAACACAUGCUUAACAUGCACAGAGUCCUGGGUUCAAGCCCCAGUACCUCCA
Molecule: transfer RNA, 72 nt
Organism: Camelus ferus (Wild Bactrian camel)
Lineage: Eukaryota; Metazoa; Chordata; Mammalia; Artiodactyla; Camelidae
Rfam family: tRNA
About the family: Transfer RNA (tRNA) molecules are approximately 80 nucleotides in length. Their secondary structure includes four short double-helical elements and three loops (D, anti-codon, and T loops).
Source: Rfam